UGGGGAAUAUUGGACAAUGGGGGCAACCCUGAUCCAGCAAUGCCGCGUGUGUGAAGAAGGCCUUCGGGUUGUAAAGCACUUUUGUCCGGAACGAAACGUGGUGCGUGAAUAACGCAUCAAACUGACGGUACCGGAAGAAUCAGCACCGGCUAACUUCGUGCCAGCAGCCGCGGUAAUACGAAGGGUGCAAGCGUUACUCGGAAUUACUGGGCGUAAAGGGUGCGUAGGUGGUUUGUUAAGUCUGCCGUGAAAUCCCCGGGCUCAACCUGGGAAUGGCGGUGGAUACUGGCAAGCUGGAGUGCGGUAGAGGGUAGUGGAAUUCCCGGUGUAGCAGUGAAAUGCGUAGAGAUCGGGAGGAACACCAGUGGCGAAGGCGGCUACCUGGACCAGCACUGACACU
This 400-nucleotide ribosomal RNA is filed under the name uncultured bacterium. RNAcentral describes it as "bacterial SSU rRNA". It matches the Rfam family "Bacterial small subunit ribosomal RNA", at positions 355 to 747 of the family's 1533-position model. The record is from RNAcentral.